UACGAAGGGGGCUAGCGUUGCUCGGAAUUACUGGGCGUAAAGCGCACGUAGGCGGCUUUCUAAGUCGGGGGUGAAAUCCUGGAGCUCAACUCCAGAACUGCCUCGAUACUGGAGAGCUUGAGUCCGGGAGAGGUGAGUGGAACUGCGAGUGUAGAGGUGAAAUUCGUAGAUAUUCGCAAGAACACCAGUGGCGAAGGCGGCUCACUGGCCCGAUACUGACGCUGAGGC
Molecule: ribosomal RNA, 228 nt
Filed under: uncultured bacterium
Lineage: Bacteria
Description: partial 16S ribosomal RNA
Rfam family: Bacterial small subunit ribosomal RNA
Source: RNAcentral